Molecule: long non-coding RNA, 842 nt
Filed under: Homo sapiens (human)
Lineage: Eukaryota; Metazoa; Chordata; Mammalia; Primates; Hominidae
Description: HSALNT0396522
Source: RNAcentral
AACUGGCAUCUGGUGAGAUCUCUCUCCUUGGGUUGUAAGUGACCACCUUCUCUAUGUCCUUCCAUGGACUUUCCUCUGUGCUUUUGUGGUGCCAGUGCGCGUGACAUUUCCCUGAAGCCACAGCCCUUGUCACCCCCUGCAAAGCUCUGAAGUUGUGCACAGGUAGGCCAGGUGGCAGAUUUCUCUCAAAAGCGGCUGAGCUCGCGCUCUGGCUAGGGAAGGCAGAGGCCUGCGGCACAAAGUACAUUGUCUUAGACAUCAGGACAGUGUCUAUAGCAGUUUAGGAAAGAAGGCGGCUCCCUGGGCUGGAGACGACGCAAUGCUCUGGGAAGACCCCUGGGUGCGGGUGAGAGAGGAAUCCGAGCUGCACAAGGCCAAUGAGGGGAGGACGACCCGCCCGAUUUAGAUAAAGGUAACAAGAAAUUUCAGCUUCCGGCAUGAUGGGCGAAGGCCCCCACCUUCAGCCUCGCUCCUCCAUGCCUUCAGAGCUGUUCCGCCAUGCAGACGGGGAGCCUGCCUGUUCUUUAACCUCUCCUACCUGAUGGGAGAGGACAAGCUACCAGGACAGCUUGUCUCACCAAGAAAUUGUGAUACCGCAUCCCCCAACGUGCUGGCUUCCUGACUUCCAAAGUUGCGGCAAGGUAAGAAGAACUACAGAGGAAGAACCUAAUGCAGACGUUUCCCAGGAGACUUUAACUGAAGUAUCAGCAAACUGAAAGGUAACGAGAGAAUCUUGUGCCUCUGAGGGUGUCUUUCCCAUGGAUCCCUGCUCAGUUGCCUUUCACGGGCCCCCUGAUUUGCGUGAACUCCUGACCUCAGAUGAUCCGCCUGCCUUGGCCCUC